This 600-nucleotide ribosomal RNA is filed under the name Bacillus sp. (in: firmicutes). RNAcentral's name for it is "bacterial SSU rRNA". It matches the Rfam family "Bacterial small subunit ribosomal RNA", at positions 56 to 639 of the family's 1533-position model. Lineage: Bacteria; Bacillati; Bacillota; Bacilli; Caryophanales; Bacillaceae. The record is from RNAcentral.
UGCAGUCGAGCGGACAGAUGGGAGCUUGCUCCCUGAUGUUAGCGGCGGACGGGUGAGUAACACGUGGGUAACCUGCCUGUAAGACUGGGAUAACUCCGGGAAACCGGGACUAAUACCGGAUGGUUGUUAGAACCGCAUGGUUCAGACAUAAAAGGUGGCUUCGGCUACCACUUACAGAUGGACCCGCGGCGCAUUAGCUAGUUGGUGAGGUAACGGCUCACCAAGGCAACGAUGCGUAGCCGACCUGAGAGGGUGAUCGGCCACACUGGGACUGAGACACGGCCCAGACUCCUACGGGAGGCAGCAGUAGGGAAUCUUCCGCAAUGGACGAAAGUCUGACGGAGCAACGCCGCGUGAGUGAUGAAGGUUUUCGGAUCGUAAAGCUCUGUUGUUAGGGAAGAACAAGUGCCGUUCAAAUAGGGCGGCACCUUGACGGUACCUAACCAGAAAGCCACGGCUAACUACGUGCCAGCAGCCGCGGUAAUACGUAGGUGGCAAGCGUUGUCCGGAAUUAUUGGGCGUAAAGGGCUCGCAGGCGGUUUCUUAAGUCUGAUGUGAAAGCCCCCGGCUCAACCGGGGAGGGUCAUGGGAAACUGGGGA